Molecule: ribosomal RNA, 2124 nt
Filed under: Acidimicrobiales bacterium
Lineage: Bacteria; Bacillati; Actinomycetota; Acidimicrobiia; Acidimicrobiales
Description: partial 23S ribosomal RNA
Rfam family: Bacterial large subunit ribosomal RNA
Source: RNAcentral
CCAAGCUACGAAGAGCCAAUGGUGAAUGCCUUGGCGCCGAACACCGAUGAAGGACGUGAUAGGCUGCGAUAAGCCACGGGGAGCCGCCGAAUAGGCUUUGAUCCGUGGAUAUCCGAAUGGGGAAACCCGGCACCUUUUAUCGGGUGUCACUCCUGCCUGAAUCUAUAGGGCAGGUAGAGGGAACGAGGGGAAUUGAAACAUCUCAGUACCCUGAGGAAAAGAAAGCAACAGCGAUUCCCGGAGUAGCGGCGAGCGAAAUGGGAAGAGCCUAAACCGAAUCCGGUGGUAAAGCCUGGUGGCGUUGCCGGAUCGGUGUUGUGGGACAUCCCCGACCGAGCACCAGAUCGGUCAAGGAGUUACAAAGCAGGCAGAUAGCGGAACCGUACAGGAAAGGCGGGCCGCAGAGGGUGACAGCCCCGUACGCGAAAUCUGCUUGCCUCCUGGGAUUGCUCCCGAGUAGCGCCGGUUCCGUGAAGGCCGGCGUGAAUCUGCGAGGACCACCUCGUAAGGCUAAAUAUGUGUCGGCGACCGAUAGCGAACUAGUACCGUGAGGGAAAGGUGAAAAGUACCCCGGGAGGGGAGUGAAAUAGUACCUGCAACCAUUGGUUUACGAGCAGUUGAAGCGCUACUGGGCACUUGUGUCCAAGCGCGACAGCGUGCCUUUUGAAGAAUGAGCCAGCGAGUUACGGUGUGUGGCAAGGUUAACCAGUGAUGGGAAGCCGGAGCGAAAGCGAGUCCGAAUAGGGCGCACAGUCGCAUGCUGUAGACCCGAAGCCGUGUGAUCUAUCCAUGGGCAGGGUGAAGCGGAGGUAAGACUCCGUGGAGGCCCGAACCGACCUAGGUUGAAAACUGGGCGGAUGACCUGUGGAUAGGGGUGAAAGGCCAAUCAAACACGGUGAUAUCUGGUUCUCCCCGAAAUGCAUUUUGGUGCAGCGUCGCACGUUCAGCCAUGGAGGUAGAGCACUGAUUGGGCUAGGGGGCCCACAAGCUUACCGACCCCAGUCAAACUCCGAAUGCCAUGGCUCCAGAGUGCGGCAGUGAGUCCACGGGGGAUGAGCUUCGUUGGACGAGAGGGAAACAGCCCAGAGCGCCGGCUAAGGCCCCUAAGUGUGUAUUAAGUGGCAAACGAUGUGGGAUUGCCCAGACAGCCAGGAGGUUGGCUUAGAAGCAGCCACCCUUGAAAGAGUGCGUAACAGCUCACUGGUCGAGUGGUCCUGCGCGGAUAAUGUAACGGGGCUAAAUACACCGCCGAAGCCGCGCCUUUGAGUUCGCUUUCGAGCGAGCUUGAGGGGUAGGGGAGCGUCGUGCCUGCAGCGAAGCCGGAGCGUGAGCGCCGGUGGAGCGGGUCCGAGUGAGAAUGCUGGCAUGAGUAGCGAGAGAGGGGUGCGAAUCCCCUCCGCCGUAAGCCCAAGGGUUCCUGGGGAAGGCUGGUCCUCCCAGGGUUAGUCGGGAGCUAAGGCGAGGCCGAGAGGCGUAGUCGAUGCACAACCGGUUGAUAUUCCGGUACCACCGCGUGCGCGCCCAGUCCAAAAUGCGGUUGCUAAGGGGCUGUCCUCCCUUCGGGGAACGACGAACCGACCCACCGCACCGAGGACAGCAAUGAGGGGACGCAGGAGGAUAGGUGAACCCAGGCGAUGGUAGACCUGGGGUAAGCGAGUAGGACGGGGACUAGGUAAGUCCGGGCCCCAUAAAGUCCGAGACGCGAUGCCGAGCCGCUACAGGCGAAGUCAUUGAUUCCAUGCUGCCUAGAAAAGCCUCUAGCGAGUUCACGUGGUGCCCGUACCUAAACCAACACAGGUAGGCAGGUAGAGCAUACUCAGGCGAACGGGAGAACUGUGGUUAAGGAACUCGGCAAAUUGCAUCCGUAACUUCGGGAGAAGGAUGACCCUGCGAUGGUGACGGCACUAGCUGCCCGAGCCGGAGAGGGUGGCACAAAAUAGGGGAAAGCGACUGUUUACUAAAAGCACAGCAGCGUGCGAAGUCGUAAGACCAUGUAUACGCUGUGACGCCUGCCCGGUGCCGGAAGGUUACGGGGAACGGUUAGCUCUUCGGAGCGAAGCUGUGAACCUAAGCCCCGGUAAACGGCGGCCGUAACUAUAACGGUCCUAAGGUAGCGAAAUUCCU